RNAcentral lists this ribosomal RNA (449 nucleotides) under uncultured bacterium. RNAcentral describes it as "partial 16S ribosomal RNA". It matches the Rfam family "Bacterial small subunit ribosomal RNA", at positions 29 to 523 of the family's 1533-position model. The record is from RNAcentral.
AACGAACGCUGGCGGCAUGCCUAACACAUGCAAGUCGAACGAGAUCUUCGGGUCUAGUGGCGCACGGGUGCGUAACGCGUGGGAAUCUGCCCUUUGGUUCGGAAUAACAGUUGGAAACGUCUGCUAAUACCGGAUGAUGACGAAAGUCCAAAGAUUUAUCGACAGAGGAUGAGCCCGCGUAGGAUUAGCUAGUUAGUGUGGUAAAGGCGCACCAAGGCGAAGAUCCUUAGCUGGUCUGAGAGGAUGAUCAGCCACACUGGGACUGAGACACGGCCCAGACUCCUACGGGAGGCAGCAGUGGGGAAUAUUGGAAAAUGGGCGAAAGCCUGAUCCAGCAAUGCCGCGUGAGUGAUGAAGGCCUUAGGGUUGUAAAGCUCUUUUACCCGGGAUGAUAAUGACAGUACCGGGAGAGUAAGCUCCGGCUAACUCCGUGCCAGCCGCCGCGGUAA